UACGAGGGAUGCAAGCGUUAUCCGGAAUUAUUGGGCGUAAAGCGUUUGUAGGCGGGCGAGUGUGUUUAAUGUUAAAUCUUAAAGCUCAACUUUGAAAUUGCGUUAAAAACUGCUUGUCUUGAGUAUGGUAGGGGUAAAGGGAAUUCCCAGUGUAGCGGUGAAAUGCGUAGAUAUUGGGAAGAACACUAAACAGCGAAGGCACUUUACUAGGCUAAUACUGACGCUGAGAAACGAAAGGUAAGGUAGCGAAACGGAUUAGAUACCCGUGUAGUCUUACCCGUAAACUAUGGACACUAAACGGUAAAUUUUUAAUUUACUGUUAAAGCUAACGCGUUAAGUGUCCCGCCUGGGGAGUAUGCUUGCAAAAGUGAAACUCAAAGGAAUUGACGGGGGCCCGCACAAGCGGUGGAGCAUGUGGUUUAAUUCGACGGUACACGAAGAACCUUACCAGGAUUUGACAUGCUAGAUAGUUGCUUGAAAGAGUAACGUGCCGUAAGGAAUCUAGACACAGGUGGUGCAUGGCUGUCGUCAGUUCGUGUUGUGAAAUGUUGGGUUAAGUCCCGCAACGAACGCAACCCUUGUCUUUAGUUAUUUUCUAAAGAGACUGCCUGUAAUAAACAGGAGGAAGGUAAGGAUGAGGUCAAGUCAUCAUGCCCCUUAUGUCCUGGGCUACACACGUGCUACAAUGGGAAAGACAAUGAGCUGCAAAUCUGUAAAUUUAAGCAAAUCUCUUAAACUUUCUCGUAGUUCGGAUUGUGGGCUGCAACUCGCCCACAUGAAGUUGGAAUCGCUAGUAAUCGCCAAUCAGCUAUAUGGCGGUGAAUCCGUUCCCGGGCCU
RNAcentral lists this ribosomal RNA (838 nucleotides) under uncultured bacterium. Its description in RNAcentral is "bacterial SSU rRNA". It matches the Rfam family "Bacterial small subunit ribosomal RNA", at positions 524 to 1381 of the family's 1533-position model. The record is from RNAcentral.